This 1356-nucleotide long non-coding RNA is filed under the name Homo sapiens (human). RNAcentral describes it as "HSALNT0387562". Lineage: Eukaryota; Metazoa; Chordata; Mammalia; Primates; Hominidae. The record is from RNAcentral.
UUCAGCUAGAAGUUGGGGGACCCAGAACUUAGCCUGGGGACUGGUGAUUCUCUCCAGAGCCCUCGGAGCCAGAGCGGCCAGGUGCCAGGUGUGGCUGCUCAACCCCUAGGUUUUCAGUGUCCUUCUUCGGGGCCACUGUCCCUCCAGGCAGUAUGCACAGUGGUUAGGAGCCUCACUAAGAAGAGGGGCUGUGACACCUCUGGAGGUUAAUGGACGUGACAUGCAGAAUGCACCUGGAACACACCUGGCCCUAGAGAGUGCUCCACAGUGGCCUCUGCUCCCUAGCCACCAUUCUCUGUGGCGCUUUAAAAUCCGCCUGCAGGGUGAUCUCAUGUGCUGCCCUCACCGCUGGCCGGUAGGACUUACAGGAAGGAAUCAGGCCGAACCUCUGGAGUGGCACUUUUAUUCUAAGACCACUUCCAGGGAUGAAGGAGGAAAGACGUAGUCAUCUGCUUGCCCCAGCUCACAGCCGGACGCUGCGGCUUUUGGAAAAUAGCCACCAUGAAGCCGGUGGCCCUGGUCCCCCUCUCGAGGUAUCAUAAAGCCAUUCAUAACGGCAUAAACGCCUGACAACACUCCCUGAUGCCAGCCCGGGCAUCAAGUUGAAGCCCUUUCAAGCGAUCAUCGGCUCCCUGGGAAAUGCCUUUUCUCUGUUACCUGGCACAGCCGAACAUCAAGAAGAAACGUGGAAAACAUCACACUGACCCCCCAGAAAAAUGAAAGAAAAGUACGGAAGAGACCAAUUCCCACCCUUGCUAUAGACGGAAUAAGUAUGUGCGUUUGUGAACCUUAAGUGUUCAUCUAAAUAUGUUGCUUCAACGGAGAUCCGCUUGUGGAUACAGACACACGAAAAUACACGAGACCACGCUCUAUUUUAAGGAAUUGCUGAAGAGUGUUGAACACUCAAACCCACCGCACAGCACCCUCGCAGCUAAGAGCACAAUUGAAUGAAACCAGCGGAUUCAUUUAUUUUAACCUCCACUGGAGCUGUCCCAAAAAAGCAGGUGGCUAUUGAAAGUGUUUUUCUGUUUUUGUCUUUUUUUUUUAAUUCUAAAUAACAAGAGGGAUAAAAAUUAAUGUCGUUCUAUGGGGUCUGAACAUGAAAAGGUACGAGAGAGUGAGCCAGGGCCUGUGAAAUGGCUAAACGGAUUAGUAGCCUUACUUUUCAACAUAUAAACAUCUGAAACCCGUUUCCUGUUUAAGAAAAAAAAAGUCUAGGUGGAUGACCUCGGGCACUUUUUUUUUAUUAACAAAUGUGAAUUGUACAUCAUGGUGGGAAAAAAAAAAAAUGGUCCGCUCUUGGUGGUCUUUCUACAGUCUGUAUAUGGGAGACAGAGAAAAAAAUACAAAAAUAAA